This 62-nucleotide transfer RNA is filed under the name Brachionus rubens. RNAcentral describes it as "tRNA-Cys". Lineage: Eukaryota; Metazoa; Rotifera; Eurotatoria; Ploima; Brachionidae. The record is from RNAcentral.
GGAUUAGUAGUUUAUAUAAAACCGUUUAUUGCAAAUAAGCAGAUGAUGCCAUUCCUAAUCUU